Molecule: ribosomal RNA, 253 nt
Filed under: uncultured bacterium
Lineage: Bacteria
Description: partial 16S ribosomal RNA
Rfam family: Bacterial small subunit ribosomal RNA
Source: RNAcentral
UACGUAGGUGGCAAGCGUUGUCCGGAUUUAUUGGGCGUAAAGCGAGCGCAGGCGGUCUUUUAAGUCUGAUGUGAAAGCCCACGGCUUAACCGUGGAGGGUCAUUGGAAACUGGGAGACUUGAGUGCAGAAGAGGAAAGCGGAAUUCCAUGUGUAGCGGUGAAAUGCGUAGAUAUAUGGAGGAACACCAGUGGCGAAGGCGGCUUUCUGGUCUGUAACUGACGCUGAGGCUCGAAAGCGUGGGGAGCAAACAGG